AAACUUACGAAUGUAUUACCGAUAGCUUUAUUUUAAAUAAAAGUUUCAUAUCUACAUGUCUUCUCUCUUGGCACGAGCCUAUAUCGACAGGACAAUCGAAAUGAACCGUGUUAGGGACAGGAGGAGAACCUCACCCUAACAUGAGCAAGGUUGAAGGCCUAGUUAUUUUUAGACCGGAUGGGGGGAGAGGCUCUACAGCGCCUAUACGUGCCCCCACAGCCAUGUUAGGGAUAGGAGGAGAACCUCGCCAAGCUUGCCCCGAAUUGGGAAGGCCCGUACGAAGUCAAGGAAGUAGUCCAGCCCAAAACUUAUUACCUCAAGG
RNAcentral lists this long non-coding RNA (322 nucleotides) under Elaeis guineensis (African oil palm). RNAcentral describes it as "long non-coding RNA (EGUI_LNC062206)". The record is from RNAcentral. Lineage: Eukaryota; Viridiplantae; Streptophyta; Magnoliopsida; Arecales; Arecaceae.